RNAcentral lists this ribosomal RNA (367 nucleotides) under uncultured bacterium. RNAcentral's name for it is "bacterial SSU rRNA". It matches the Rfam family "Bacterial small subunit ribosomal RNA", at positions 917 to 1289 of the family's 1533-position model. The record is from RNAcentral.
GGGCCCGCACAAGCGGUGGAGCAUGUGGUUUAAUUCGAUGAUACGCGAGGAACCUUACCAGGGCUUAAAUGCAGAAUGACAGGACUGGAAACAGUUUUUCUUCGGACAAUUUGCAAGGUGCUGCAUGGUUGUCGUCAGCUCGUGCUGUGAAGUGUCGGGUUAAGUCCCAUAACGAGCGCAACCCCUAUCUUUAGUUGCCAGCGGGUAAUGCCGGGGACUCUAGAGAAACUGCCAGCGCAAGCUGAGAGGAAGUGGGGAUGACGUCAAAUCAUCACGGCCCUUACGUCCUGGGCUACACACGUGCUACAAUGGUAGAUACAGAGGGCAGCUACCUGGUGACAGGAUGCAAAUCUCGAAAGUCUAUCUC